Molecule: ribosomal RNA, 117 nt
Filed under: Acidimicrobiales bacterium
Lineage: Bacteria; Bacillati; Actinomycetota; Acidimicrobiia; Acidimicrobiales
Source: RNAcentral
UUCGGUGGCAAUAGCGGCAGGGUCACACCCGUUCCCAUUCCGAACACGGAAGUUAAGCCUGCCUGCGCCGAUGGUACUUGGGUGGAUUCGCCCUGGGAGAGUAGGUCGCCGCCGGAU